AGCUUUUUGAGGCAGAGCGUGAGACUCUUAAUCUCAAGGUUGUGGGUUCGACCCCCAC
Molecule: transfer RNA, 58 nt
Filed under: Rhizoclosmatium globosum
Lineage: Eukaryota; Fungi; Chytridiomycota; Chytridiomycetes; Chytridiales; Chytriomycetaceae
Rfam family: tRNA
About the family: Transfer RNA (tRNA) molecules are approximately 80 nucleotides in length. Their secondary structure includes four short double-helical elements and three loops (D, anti-codon, and T loops). Further hydrogen bonds mediate the characteristic L-shaped molecular structure. tRNAs have two regions of fundamental functional importance: the anti-codon, which is responsible for specific mRNA codon recognition, and the 3' end, to which the tRNAs corresponding amino acid is attached (by aminoacyl-tRNA synthetases). tRNAs cope with the degeneracy of the genetic code in two manners: having more than one tRNA (with a specific anti-codon) for a particular amino acid; and 'wobble' base-pairing, i.e. permitting non-standard base-pairing at the 3rd anti-codon position.
Source: Rfam by way of RNAcentral